Long non-coding RNA from Pyrgilauda ruficollis (rufous-necked snowfinch), 4721 nucleotides. RefSeq lists it as uncharacterized. NCBI's taxonomy places the organism in Eukaryota, Metazoa, Chordata, Aves, Passeriformes, Passeridae. The transcript is spliced from 5 exons. The record is from RefSeq and is a predicted model, not a curated record.
UACCCAUCCAGUACACAACAGGCUAAAACCUGUGUGCGGGCAAGGGCUUGCGUCCGGCGUUUCUGGCUCCUGAUGAACAAAGAAUGAGGGGAGGAAAAUAUAUGAGAUCCUGAUCUGCUUACAUCCUCAUUUGGAAUCAAAUGUGUAAUGACAAGGGAGAGAGCUGAGCUUUGUCUCCAUUUUACGUAACUGCAGAAUUUAUCACAGCUUGGCUUCUAGGUGGUUGCAGUAAAGGCAAGAGAUUGUCCCAAGGCAUAUUUGAAAUGAAGACACCUGGAAGUUGAAGAUACACCUGCUAGUUUUCCAGUGCACACAGAGGAUGCAGCUCUGUGACCCUCCUUACCACAUCUGUGCACUGCUGGAUCAGUUGACUUUACACAAAAAGCCAGCAGGAACAAUACAGCACGUGAUGGUGCUGACAUCACAGCUUUACAUGACUGCCCCCAUAGUCACUCCUCAAACUGCAACAGCAUGCAGAGUACCAAAAAUGGGAAAGUUAUUUCUGCUGAAUGCAGUGAUGGGAAAGGUUACCGUGCAGCUAGAGGUUUGGCAAGGGCACUGUCAGCAUCACUUGCUUCUCUCUUGGGUUCCAAAGAUGCACGUCUGUCCUGCGCAGACGCAGCGUCUGACAGAAGAGCCAGGAUGAUGCACAGACAGGAAAAUCUGCAGUACAGGGAGGACUUGAGGACUUUCCUUUGAGCAAGGAAAGACAAUGCUGGGAUUAUCCCUGUGGAUAAUAACCUUUGCCUGCUGGAGAAGAUAAAUGUUAGAUGGCACAUCUCAAUGUAAGAGUGCUAAUUUCAUAGUGAGUUACAGAGCUUUAACAGGUGCCGUGGGAACAGGCAGUUCUGUUCCUGUCAACACCAGGACUCUCCUGUCUGCAGAGUGAGCUGGUACACAGAGCUAAACCAGCAAAAGGUACUGCUGGAAAAGGCAGCAAGCAGACUUCUGAAGGUUUAACUCCAUGAAAAUCAGCUUGUAGUGGGCUAAAAACGAGGGUUAGCACUGAAUAGAGAAGAGAGGAAGGGGCAGGAGUGCCCCUUUAAGGAAGAGCUGCUCAAUUUAGCAGUGCAAAACUGCAGCUUAAAAAGCCUUGUCCUUGUAAUGCCAAGCAGAAAUCUCCCUGCAUCGGAACACUGGAGGAAAAGCAUCAAAAGUCAGGAGAAGAUUCAGGAGACAACAAUCCCUCUUUAGGACAUUCCUGUGUUACCAGCAAAAUUUUGGUCACACACUCUUCUAUUCUCAUGGAUUUCUCAUGUGAGGGUCAUGAACAAGCACAUUUGUUUCCUACCCAGUUUCUCCAAGUUUUAUGUAAACAGGCAGUACUGUUUCACCCUUUGGCUUGAGUUGUCUGAAGACCACCUAGGACUUGUUAAUAUUAUUGCUGGUGGGUAGCCCAGUAGUGUCCACAUUCCUGCCGUCCUGGUUGUUGAGAGCCGCACAAGCUGGCUGAAAUCCUUGCAUUUUAUUAAUCAAGGUAGCUAAGUAAAUACAGUUACUAUUUGGAAGUGAGAAGGUCAUGAGGCAGCAGAAGAUGAAAUGAAAGUUGAAACAAAGUCUCAGCUAGAUACCAUUAAUGUCUGCUUGUGGAAAACAGUUGAUAAGGAAUAACUCUUUGCUGUCUCCUCCAAAUUAAAAAAAGUAAUUUAAAAAACUAAUCAACUGAAACUAAUGGAGUCCGAGUCAAAAGGUGCAAAAAGAGGUGGUUCUUCACCAACUGAUAGUAGACCUCUAGUGUAACUUGCUGCAGGAUGCUCUGGAUCCAAGAAGUUUAUAUGGCCUCACCCUACAGACAGUUUUAAACCAGGGAGGAGAAGGAAACGGAAAAAAGGAACGAGAGAGGGAAAAAAGAGACUCCAGUUCAGAGACUGCCUAGCGCUGCUGAAGACCCUCCACAAAACCUGCUGUUCCACAGAUCCACACUGAAGCUGCUCUGUAAGCCAUGUAGCCAGAGACUCAGCACUUUGCCCAGUUCUACAAGACUUCUUGAAUGAAAGCUGAAAUGUAGCUGGCAUCCUCUCCUGCUACUGGAAACGGAAUGAAAUCUUGAAAUCAGAGAACCAAGAACACCAAAUACACUGGAAAGAAGAUAUGAUCAAAUCAAGUGCAAUUGAAAAAAUCCAGAAAAUUUGCAAAUGGCAUGACUACAACCAAAUGUACUGAGAUGAAAAGAGGUGCAGUGAAAAGGACCGAAAGUUGCUCAAAUUAUUCCCACUGAAAUCCCAAAAGCAGGCCAGAAAGGGCUCUGCUGUGAGAGGAGUACUAAUGAGGUCCACAUCUCACCAUAUCCACACCAGGGAAUUUAUCUCUGAAGUGCUUAUUCCCUACUGGGGACUGUGCCACCAGGUAACAUCAGGCUCUUGAGCUUUAAACUAUCCCAUGAUCUAUGUGACAAAUACAACAACACAGAGAUAGAAUAAUUAGUGAGGGCACUGGAAUUCAUCCUUCUGCAAACCCAUAAUGCCAGCCAGCCAAGCCCUCAAGAAGACAAUUAAUUCUCUGAAAAUUUCCCUUUCAGCCACAAGUGCUGGAAAGGUUGUCUAAAUAUAAGAGACAAUUAAGCAGAUUUUGGCUUGUGUUAUCCUCAGACACAGAUUCUGUCUGCAAGAAGCCCUUCAUAAGCAAGGGGGUGUUUGGUGCCACAAAGCACUCUCAUCUGCAGGCAUUAAGGAGUGAUCAGCACCAGCAACCAUAGAUGUGACGUGGGACAGCUCCCAGGGGCAGCAGCUGGAAGGCUCGGGGGAACACCUCCCUAGUGGUUCAGCUCUUAUUUCUUAAGCAUAGGGAUUUGUCUGAGCCAUGCUACUCCCUGUGUAGAUUUAAAGGUCUGUAUGAGGGUCAGCUCGAGCCAAGUUAACCUCAGAGCCCUGACAGUGAUGUGCAGUGAGCUGCAGUGCACGCCAGGCUGCAAAGCACAGUUACUCAAGCACAUAUUCCACCUAUUGCUCUAGAGUAAAGUGUUUGGCCACCACAGUGUUCUGAAUAUGUGUCUGCCCAAAACAAAAUACAUGGUUGUGCAGAUCUCUUUUCUCUUUGGCACCAUUUCUGCAGCUCUAAAACAGCCAUGGCUUCUCUCAUGCAGCCCCCUGAGCUGCACAGCACAUUAAGUAAUGCCACAACAGCUUUUCCAAGGGUCUGAUUCUGCUCCAUGACUCUCCAGCAUCCCUAGUUUGCCAGUUCCCAGCAUAUACACAAGCAGAAAAGUUCUCUUGUGACUACUGUCAAAUUCAGGCACUGAAUGGCAAGGAGGGGAAGCAACAGGCACAGGCUAUUCUGGACAGGCAGAAAGCUGGAACACGAAGAGCCUGGCAGGUCAGUCCAUUCUUCAUUACUUGCUCUGUCUCCUCACCACCACCUUCUGCCUUUCCAGAGGAAAAUAUGUCCCCUCCCCAGCACAGAGAUAAGCCAAGAGCCUUGGCUGCUGCUGCUCUCUGUGGGAAGUCACUUCACUUUAUUUUUUGUCUGUUUAACCCAUGUUUAUGUUUCAGAAUUUCUCCUGUCACAUUGAGUUACAAGCCCUUGGAAUAGGAUAAAGGCUCCUUUUUCUUCCCUGGGGACUGUUCCUUUUGGAUAGUAGUAACAACCCUCCUUAGCUGUCCUGCAUAGGUGCCCCCCACCCCUCCUCAUCUGUUGCUGGGAGGGUAUCUCCUGGAAGCUCAGAAGCCAUUUCUUCAGGCUAGGCUGAUUUCAUGUUACAAGGCUGGCCUGAUCAUCCUAUGCUGCUCUGGACUGUGCUGCUGAGAGGAAGGAAAAUGAACUCCCUGUCUGGUGAAAAAUGCUCUCCAUGACCCUAGCUCUGCUGUCUGACUGAGAUGGAAAUAUGGACAUAAAGCACUGGCUCUGGCAGGCAGCUUCAUGGAAGAGGAGUGACUUGGGCAAAAUACUGAUGGGCUCUGCACUCAAAGUAUAACACACUGACCAAACUGUAUAAACAAGGAAACUUGAAGUGUUCCUGACAGCUGCACUGGGGCUUCAAUCCCAUUUUGGGUUGGGUUGUUGUUGUUUGGGUUUUUUUUUUUUUUUUCCAAAGCUAGAACAAAAAAGGAAGAAAAACAAAAUAAGAGCAUUAAAAAAAAAAUCAUUCCCUAUUUAAAGAAAAGAUGAUUUUAAGGUUUUUUUUUUUUUGCUUUACCAAAUCCUUUUCACAUUCAAGGAAGAAAAUGGUGGUUUUAUGCUUAAACUGACAUCCCUAAUUUCAAAGGUAAAAGUAGCCAUGGCUAUGUAAUAGCCGGGUGCUUCAUGAUCUAGGCUCCACACUCUAGUAGACAGGUAGGUACACAUGAAAAUUCAGGCAAGAUCUGCCUUGGGUGGCUGUGAAGCACCAGCCACAAGACGGUAUCACAUAAGCUUCUGAAAGAGGGAAUAAAGACCCUCACCAAAUGAUUAUGCUCUGCUUUUGUUAAGCACGUUUUUAACUUCAGCAGCUAAAUAACAUACUGGCUCACAGCUGCUUUAUUUAAAGUUGCAUUGAUCUUACUCUGUUGGGAGCUUAUAAUGAAUACCAGAUCCCAUAUCCCUUAUAUUUUCUAUGGAGACGGGCAGAAGGAAAACACUUAAAACAAGGCAAGCUUUCUUUAAGAUGCAGGGGAGGGUGGGAAUCCCCCUCAAGCAGUAAUAUUCCUCUGCUCCCUCACUAGACUAAGAAGGAGACACAUAAAAGUUCUAAAUAACUUUCUUUUUCUUGGUUAUGGAACACAAUAAAGUAAUAAAGAUCUUUUGGA